RNAcentral lists this ribosomal RNA (250 nucleotides) under uncultured bacterium. Its description in RNAcentral is "partial 16S ribosomal RNA". It matches the Rfam family "Bacterial small subunit ribosomal RNA", at positions 30 to 282 of the family's 1533-position model. The record is from RNAcentral.
AUUGAACGCUGGCGGAAUGCUUUACACAUGCAAGUCGAGCGGCAGCGCGGGGCAACCUGGCGGCGAGCGGCGAACGGGUGAGUAAUACAUCGGAACGUACCCAAUCGUGGGGGAUAACUAUCCGAAAGGAUAGCUAAUACCGCAUAAGUCCUGAGGGAGAAAGCAGGGGAUCGCAAGACCUUGCGCGGAUGGAGCGGCCGAUGUCGGAUUAGCUAGUUGGUGGGGUAAAGGCCUACCAAGGCGACGAUCC